AGGACGAACGCUGGCGGCGUGCUUAACACAUGCAAGUCGAACGGGGUGUUUAUUUCGGUAAACACCAAGUGGCGAACGGGUGAGUAACGCGUAAGCAAUCUACCUUCAAGAUGGGGACAACACUUCGAAAGGGGUGCUAAUACCGAAUGAAUGUAAGAGUAUCGCAUGAGACACUUACUAAAGGAGGCCUCUGAAUAUGCUUCCGCUUGAAGAUGAGCUUGCGUCUGAUUAGCUAGUUGGUGAGGGUAAAGGCCCACCAAGGCGACGAUCAGUAGCCGGUCUGAGAGGGUGAUCGGGCCACACUGGGACUGAGACACGGCCCAGACUCCUACGGGAGGCAGCAGUGGGGAAUUUUCCGCAAUGGGCGAAAGCCUGACGGAGCAAGACCGCGUGGGGGAAGAAGGCUCUUGG
This 411-nucleotide ribosomal RNA is filed under the name uncultured bacterium. RNAcentral describes it as "bacterial SSU rRNA". It matches the Rfam family "Bacterial small subunit ribosomal RNA", at positions 26 to 421 of the family's 1533-position model. The record is from RNAcentral.